This is a long non-coding RNA of Vicia villosa (hairy vetch), 1013 nucleotides long. RefSeq lists it as uncharacterized. The transcript has 2 exons. NCBI's taxonomy places the organism in Eukaryota, Viridiplantae, Streptophyta, Magnoliopsida, Fabales, Fabaceae. The record is from RefSeq and is a predicted model, not a curated record.
AGUGUUUUCAAGAGGUUUUCUGGAAAUGAGUUGCUUGGGUAUGAUGAUGGUGAUGUGGGUUCAGCUAGGUUUGACAAACCUAUAAGCUUUGCUGUUGAUGUGAGACUUGGACCAAAGUGUCACGGGUCUCUCUAAUUGUUCUCUCCAUUAUUUCAUUCGAUGUUAUAGGAUGCUUAUAUGAAGUUAUAAGAACACAGAGACCUGAUAAUGGCAAAAAAGCGUUGCAAACAUUGCUCUAAGUGAUGCAGCUGGAAAUACCAUUGAAUGUACUCUAUGGGAUCAUUAUGGUUCCCAACUAAUGAAUUACACCCCCUGACAGUGUUGUUGGCCCAAAUAUUGUGAUCCUUACUCAUGCUUUAUGCAGACCAAACACAGGUAUAUUCAGUCAAUACAUCCAUAUUUAUCUGAUAGGUCUUACUGUUAUGAUAUUUGGAAGGUAGGCCCAUCUAUCUUUUCACUCCACUACCUUAUGUUUGUCUCUUUUCUACAUUUGUUAUAGCUCUAAUGUAUGGUUACUACUAGCUUGACAUAUUGGUGCAAAAAUUUAGAAGUUGAAAGAGGAUAGCGAAAGUUAUAUCUCAAACUGUUAUUAAGAAUUUGAGUUUAAUGAAUUUCGUUUCACUAAACAUGUUUCAUUAGAUAUGAUCACUAUGAAUAUUGUGAGCAUGCUUAGAUGAUGAAUGAGUUAUCAUGUAUUACACCUCAUAAAAGACAUGGAGAGCUGAAUUGCGCAACAAAAGAAGAGGAUUUUUAGAUUAAGCUAUGAUGCAUCAUCGAAUAUUCUCAUCCAUGUUAGCAACACCUCUGGUUCUGGCCAUGAGAUUUCCACCAAUGGAAACAGCAUCUGAGCAAGCAUGACAUCAUGGAUAUUUUGGACCAACUUAGCUUUCAUAUCAAGAAUGUAUCAUGUAGACCUGCCUUUCAGUGAAAAUAAAUGUUCUCUAGAUCUAUUUGUUGGUGUAAAAUUCUUUAAGCUUUGAGGUAUUAGAGAAAAUGUUUGAGUGAGAAAUGAA